RNAcentral lists this transfer RNA (77 nucleotides) under Thermocladium modestius. It matches the Rfam family "tRNA". Rfam says of the family: Transfer RNA (tRNA) molecules are approximately 80 nucleotides in length. Lineage: Archaea; Thermoproteati; Thermoproteota; Thermoprotei; Thermoproteales; Thermoproteaceae. The record is from Rfam by way of RNAcentral.
GGACCCGUAGCUCAGUAUGGAAUCAGAGCGGCGGCCUUCGGAGCCGUAGGUCGUGGGUUCAAAUCCCACCGGGUCCG